GUCUUAAUUGGGCGUUAAGUUGCAGGGUAUAGACCCGAAACCCGGUGAUCUAGCCAUGGGCAGGUUGAAGGUUGGGUAACACUAACUGGAGGACCGAACCGACUAAUGUUGAAAAAUUAGCGGAUGACCUGUGGCUGGGGGUGAAAGGCCAAUCAAACCGGGAGAUAGCUGGUUCUCCCCGAAAGCUAUUUAGGUAGCGCCUCGUGAAUUCAUCUCCGGGGGUAGAGCACUGUUUCGGCUAGGGGGCCAUCCCGGCUUACCAACCCGAUGCAAACUGCGAAUACCGGAGAAUGUUAUCACGGGAGACACACGGCGGGUGCUAACGUCCGUCGUGAAGAGGGAAACAACCCAGACCGCCAGCUAAGGUCCCAAAGUCAUGGUUAAGUGGGAAACGAUGUGGGAAGGCCCAGACAGCCAGGAUGUUGGCUUAGAAGCAGCCAUCAUUUAAAGAAAGCGUAAUAGCUCACUGGUCGAGUCGGCCUGCGCGGAAGAUGUAACGGGGCUAAACCAUGCACCGAAGCUGCGGCAGCGACGCUGAUGCGUUGUUGGGUAGGGGAGCGUUCUGUAAGCCUGCGAAGGUGGCCUGUGAGGGUUGCUGGAGGUAUCAGAAGUGCGAAUGCUGACAUAAGUAACGAUAAAGCGGGUGAAAAGCCCGCUCGCCGGAAGACCAAGGGUUCCUGUCCAACGUUAAUCGGGGCAGGGUGAGUCGACCCCUAAGGCGAGGCCGAAAGGCGUAGUCGAUGGGAAACGGGUUAAUAUUCCCGUACUUGGUGUUACUGCGAAGGGGGGACGGAGAAGGCUAUGUUGGCCGGGCGACGGUUGUCCCGGUUUAAGCGUGUAGGUGUGUGUUCCAGGUAAAUCCGGUUCACUUUAACACUGAGGCGUGAUGACGAGGCACUACGGUGCUGAAGCAACAAAUGCCCUGCUUCCAGGAAAAGCCUCUAAGCAUCAGGUAACAUCAAAUCGUACCCCAAACCGACACAGGUGGUCAGGUAGAGAAUACCAAGGCGCUUGAGAGAACUCGGGUGAAGGAACUAGGCAAAAUGGUGCCGUAACUUCGGGAGAAGGCACGCUGACACGUAGGUGAAGUGAUUUACUCAUGGAGCUGAAGUCAGUCGAAGAUACCAGCUGGCUGCAACUGUUUAUUAAAAACACAGCACUGUGCAAACACGAAAGUGGACGUAUACGGUGUGACGCCUGCCCGGUGCCGGAAGGUUAAUUGAUGGGGUCAGCGCAAGCGAAGCUCCUGAUCGAAGCCCCGGUAAACGGCGGCCGUAACUAUAACGGUCCUAAGGUAGCGAAAUUCCUUGUCGGGUAAGUUCCGACCUGCACGAAUGGCGUAAUGAUGGCCAGGCUGUCUCCACCCGAGACUCAGUGAAAUUGAACUCGCUGUGAAGAUGCAGUGUACCCGCGGCAAGACGGAAAGACCCCGUGAACCUUUACUAUAGCUUGACACUGAACAUUGAGCCUUGAUGUGUAGGAUAGGUGGGAGGCUUUGAAGUGUGGACGCCAGUCUGCAUGGAGCCGACCUUGAAAUACCACCCUUUAAUGUUUGAUGUUCUAACGUGGACCCGU
This 1575-nucleotide ribosomal RNA is filed under the name Salmonella enterica subsp. enterica. RNAcentral's name for it is "partial 23S ribosomal RNA". It matches the Rfam family "Bacterial large subunit ribosomal RNA", at positions 681 to 2236 of the family's 2925-position model. Lineage: Bacteria; Pseudomonadati; Pseudomonadota; Gammaproteobacteria; Enterobacterales; Enterobacteriaceae. The record is from RNAcentral.